RNAcentral lists this transfer RNA (43 nucleotides) under Acacia cochlearis. RNAcentral's name for it is "partial tRNA-Leu". Lineage: Eukaryota; Viridiplantae; Streptophyta; Magnoliopsida; Fabales; Fabaceae. The record is from RNAcentral.
AAAAUCCGUCGACUUUAGAAAUCGUGAGGGUUCAAGUCCCUUU